UUUUCACACUUGAAAUACUCGGAUACCCUUAAUUCUAUCCAUUCAAUUACAUUAUUUUCAAGAAUCUCUUUAAAAUCUUGCCUACACAGCUUCGGGGCGUCGAAUUCUGAGGCAAGCCCCACGUCGUGUGGGGGCGAAGAAAACGAGAACUCGUAUGUAGAAAAACGCCAUAAUACUUUCUUUUUUUCUCCGUAUUGUGUUUAUUUGAGAUCUGUGUUUCCAUAAAUUAUAUGUUGAACUUAAUAUGUUAAUAAGUGCGCAUUUAUGACCUAAACAUAGAUAUGGUUCGCCAUGUGUGUCGGAGGAGUCGAUUCGGAUUUGGAUAGGAAGGCUUCAUUACACAACGAAACACUAACAAAUGCAAGUAGUUUUAGUGCGCAAGAUAUGAAUUUGCCUUAAACAGAAAAAGAAAACGAUUUUCCAACUUUACCUGGAUAUUCUAAGACUCAUAAUCAGUCAAGAUUUAAUAACUUAAGGGGUGGGGGGAUGGGGGAUAGGGCUAAAGGGUUAGGGUCUAAAGGGGUUACUAUCUGUUUGACACGGGAAGACGGGGAGACCAGGAAAUUUCAAUGUGAGCACUGAGCAUGCUCGGAUGUAAUGAGAUACAGUUUAAAAGACUACUUUUUAAAUGUUUACUGCAGAGCCUAAGUUCAUUAUUAUGAUAUUUUCACAUUGCCGCUUCCAUUUAUUUCUUUUGUGGGGAAAGACUUUUUACUCUUAGCACAUUUGCACGCUCGCAAUCGUAGAGUCGAUUUCGUGUAUCGAAACAGUAAAAGUUCUUAGUAAAAGUUCUUACAUUACCUAAUCGUUUUAGUGUCGCAAAUUCUGUAUUGAUUUUCAUCCAUUUACAAACGUUCUUCUUAGAUCGACUAUCUAGGCUUUUGAAGUGAUUUAAGCUUAAAACAAGGGGUUAUUAUAAUAAUUCAUUAAAUUUACUUCAGUAUAUUACUGUUAUAAUACUCGAAAGCAACUGUACUAUUUAUUGCAAGUGAACAAACUCUUACUAAGGGUAGAUAAUGUUUCUUCUUGAAGUUGUAUAGUUUUAAGCAAUCGUAGUCGAUUGAGUCCGUGCAGUCCCGGCUAAGAAUAAGACUGCUCCAGAUCUUUCCGUGGAUGUCGUAAAAGGCGACUAAGGAUUGAAUGUCGCAAGGUAGAUAAAUAGUAGGUAUAUCACUUGUUCAGUAUACCACUGAAAAAGUGAUAUACCUACUUUUAUCCAUUUUGCGAUAGUGAAAAGGUGAAUACAACUGUUGGCCUUUAAACCGUAUGGUGGCGGUUAUCCACCAAAGUAUCUCCGAAAGGGGGAAAAAAAGUCCACAAGUAAGGAACCUUUAAACUUAGAGAAGAAAACAUGUUACGUCAACCCCACGAAGGAAGUGUAGGAGGGCAAGGCAAAUAAUUCAAUUCUUCAUUUUGAUCUUUUAUGAUUUGGAAAUUAGGUUACCAUGGCGAACCUCAGAAUGCAGCAAAAUAAAAAAUAAGUAAUAGGUUCAUUAAUAUUAUUUUACAACGCAAACACAAAAUUAUAAAUAUAAGAACACACCAGAUUACAACCAAUUCAGGCACUUGACAUAAAUGCGCAGUUAUGAAAUAGUAGUAACUGGUUCUUGAAAUCAACAUAUUUUGUCGAUUUGGCUAUUCGGUGAAAUUGUCUUGCUGACCGAAAAAGAAUGUUAAACAUCUCAGAAAGCCUAGGGCUUUUUUGUCUUCUAUUAAAAGAUUAUGGUAAGACGUUUUCACACUUGAAAUACUCGGAUACCCUUAAUUCUAUCCAUUCAAUUACAUUAUUUUCAAGAAUCUCUUUAAAAUCUUGCCUACACAGCUUCGGGGCGUCGAAUUCUGAGGCAAGCCCCACGUCGUGUGGGGGCGAAGAAAACGAGAACUCGUAUGUAGAAAAACGCCAUAAUACUUUCUUUUUUUCUCCGUAUUGUGUUUAUUUGAGAUCUGUGUUUCCAUAAAUUAUAUGUUGAACUUAAUAUGUUAAUAAGUGCGCAUUUAUGACCUAAACAUAGAUAUGGUUCGCCAUGUGUGUCGGAGGAGUCGAUUCGGAUUUGGAUAGGAAGGCUUCAUUACACAACGAAACACUAACAAAUGCAAGUAGUUUUAGUGCGCAAGAUAUGAAUUUGCCUUAAACAGAAAAAGAAAACGAUUUUCCAACUUUACGUGGAUAUUCUAAGACUCAUAAUCAGUCAAGAUUUAAUAACUUAAGGGGUGGGGGGAUGGGGGAUAGGGCUAAAGGGUUAGGGUCUAAAGGGGUUACUAUCUGUUUGACACGGGAAGACGGGGAGACCAGGAAAUUUCAAUGUGAGCACUGAGCAUGCUCGGAUGUGAUGAGAUACAGUUUAAAAGACUACUUUUUAAAUGUUUACUGCAGAGCCUAAGUUCAUUAUUAUGAUAUUUUCACAUUGCCGCUUCCAUUUAUUUCUUUUGUGGGGAAAGACUUUUUACUCUUAGCACAUUUGCACGCUCGCAAUCGUAGAGUCGAUUUCGUGUAUCGAAACAGUAAAAGUUCUUAGUAAAAGUUCUUACAUUACCUAAUCGUUUUAGUGUCGCAAAUUCUGUAUUGAUUUUCAUCCAUUUACAAACGUUCUUCUUAGAUCGACUAUCUAGGCUUUUGAAGUGAUUUAAGCUUAAAACAAGGGGUUAUUAUAAUAAUUCAUUAAAUUUACUUAAGUAUAUUACUGUUAUAAUACUCGAAAGCAACUGUACUAUUUAUUGCAAGUGAACAAACUCUUACUAAGGGUAGAUAAUGUUACUUCUUGAAGUUGUAUAGUUUUAAGCAAUCGUAGUCGAUUGAGUCCGUGCAGUCCCGGCUAAGAAUAAGACUGCUCCAGAUCUUUCCGUGGAUGUCGUAAAAGGCGACUAAGGAUUGAAUGUCGCAAGGUAGAUAAAUAGUAGGUAUAUCACUUGUUCAGUAUACCACUGAAAAAGUGAUAUACCUACUUUUAUCCAUUUUGCGAUAGUGAAAAGGUGAAUACAACUGUUGGCCUUUGAACCGUAUGGUGGCGGUUAUCCACCAAAGUAUCUCCGAAAGGGGGAAAAAUAAUCCACAAGUAAGGUGCCUUUAAACUUAGAGAAGAAAACAUGUUACGUCAACCCCACGAAGGAAGUGUAGGAGGGCAAGGCAAAUAAUUCAAUUCUUCAUUUUGAUCUUUUAUGAUUUGGAAAUUAGGUUACCAUGGCGAACCUCAGAAUGCAGCAAAAUAAAAAAUAAGUAAUAGGUUCAUUAAUAUUAUUUUACUACGCAAACACAAAAUUAUAAAGAUAAGAACACACCAGAUUACAACCAAUUCAGGCACUUGACAUAAAUGCGCAGUUAUGAAAUAGUAGUAACUGGUUCUUGAAACCAACAUAUUUUGUCGAUUUGGCUAUUCGGUGAAAUUGUCUUGCUGACCGAAAAAGAAUGUUAAACAUCUCAGAAAGCCUAGGGCUUUUUUGUCUUCUAUUAAAAGAUUAUGGUAAGACGUUUUCACACUUGAAAUACUCGGAUACCCUUAAUUCUAUCCAUUCAAUUACAUUAUUUUCAAGAAUCUCUUUAAAAUCUUGCCUAUACAGCUUCGGGGCGUCGAAUUCUGAGGCAAGCCCCGCGUCGUGUGGGGGCGAAGAAAACGAGAACUCUUAUGUAGAAAAACGCCAUAAUACUUUCUUUUUUUCUCCGUAUUGUGUUUAUUUGAGAUCUGUGUUUCCAUAAAUUAUAUGUUGAACUUAAAAUGUUAAUAAGUGCGCAUUUAUGACCUCAAUAUAGAUAAUAUGGUUCGCCAUGUGUAUCGGAGAAGUCGAUUCAGAUUCGGAUAGGAAGGUUUCAUUACACAACGAAACUCUAACAUAUGCCAGUUGUUUUAGUGCGCAAGAUAUGAAUUUGCCUUAAACAGAAAAGAAAACGAUUUUCCAACUUAACGUGGAUAUUCUAAGACUCAUAAUCAGUCAAGAUUUAAUAACUUAAGGGGUGGGGGGGAUGGAGAUAGGGCUAAUGGGUUAGGGUCUAAAGGGGUUACCAUCUGUUUGACACGGGAGGACGGGGAGACCAGGAAAUUUCAAUGUGAGCACUGAGCAUGCUCGGAUGUAAUGAGUUACAGUUUCAAAGACUACUUUUUAAAUGUUUACUGCAGAGCCUUAGUUCAUUAUUAUGAUAUUUUCACAUUGCCGCUUCCAUUUAUUUCUUUUGUGGGGAAAGACUUUUUACCCUUAACACAUUUGCACGCUCGCAAUCGUAGGGUCGAUUUCUUGUAUCGAAACAGUAAAAGUUCUUAGUAAAAGUUCUUACAUUACCUAAUCGUUUUAGUGUCGCAAAUUCUGUAUUGAUUUUCAUCCAUUUACAAACGUUCUUCUUAGAUCUACUAUCUAGGCUGUUGAAGUGAUUUAAGCUUAAAACAAGGGGUUAUGAUAAUAAUUCAUUAAAUUUAUUCAAAAAAUUCAAAAUUCAUUUAUUUCAAGUAGGCCUAAUACAA
This is a long non-coding RNA of Pararge aegeria (speckled wood butterfly), 4448 nucleotides long. RefSeq lists it as uncharacterized. Lineage: Eukaryota; Metazoa; Arthropoda; Insecta; Lepidoptera; Nymphalidae. The transcript has 3 exons. The record is from RefSeq and is a predicted model, not a curated record.